CAACGUACAAAACCUGGUGGAUUUGAUGUUCAGCAGCAUCAUGGGAACCCCCUUUAGCAUAUCAUGAGCUGUAACAGAAGGCUGAGGCUGUGGCCAGACACUAGUCCAGCUUCAGAAUAAUGGAGCACACUUGAAUCACGAGCUGAAGUUGGGCUCCUUCAUGACCAGUAUCUGUGACGAGAGGGGCCUGGAGCUGAUCUACGCUGCCAUGCCCAUCAGAUGUUUCCAAACAAAAGAUGGGCAGAAGACAGGUUGAUACUGAGACCUUGCCUUGCACUCAGCAUUACAAUUACAAGACAGCCAUUACAUUUUGUCUUUUGUUAUUAUUGAAUUGAAUGGUACCAUCAGUGGGUGGGGCCCCUGUGUAUUCUUCAAACAUAUCAGGGAACGCCUGUCUUAUACAGGACAGGAAGGCAUAAUAUUUGCACAUUGUUAUAUUAGCAGUCCAGUUCUACAGUAUUAUGUGAAGUAGGGUGUAUUCAACAUGGAACUGUUACACUUGAAAGUUAACAAAACACUUUGUUCACGUCUACAUUAGUUCAGCAAUUUCACUCUUCUCGUAUCACUCUGUAGGCUACUGACAAAGCUUCCUCCUUAGAUGUGGCCAAAUAGAAUCCAUUCUAGUUCUGGUUAGACCGCUGAAGUUGUAGUCUAUACACAACUUGUUUUUAUUUGCUAGGUAAGUGUACACAUACUGUCUUUAAGCACAUCAAUAUGAUAUUUACAGCAUAGAAUGUUUUGUCUUUGUAACACGAACAUAGGUUUUUAGUUGAUAAAUGUAUCUACCCUCAAACUGGGCAAUGUCUGUGCAAUGUCCACAUGUAGUCUACACCGGUUGUAGGGAUGAAAGUAGUUUGGGGAUUUGUCCCCCUGGAAAGAUCAAACAACGUACUUAAGGAGAGACGAGAUGAGAGACAUCUCGCCAGUUAUAAAAUAUGUUGUAGGAAAGCUGAGCUGACUCAAGACCGGGCAUUCAACUCGCAGUUGAUACCAUUUCCAUAACGUGAUGAAACUAAGUUUCAAGCUACUUUCGUAGCAAGGUGUUGUAGAACUAGUGUCUUACACAUGAGACACCCCGAGAAUCUCCCUGCCGAUAGGUACUUAUAUCACAGUGGGAGGCCUUUCUUUCACUUGCUUGAACAAAAGCUGUACCUGCUUGCGGGCCAACCCAGAAGCGAUGAACCUGCCCCUUCUCCUUGUAGAAGUG
This is a long non-coding RNA of Oncorhynchus keta (chum salmon), 1207 nucleotides long. RefSeq lists it as uncharacterized. The record is from RefSeq and is a predicted model, not a curated record. The transcript is spliced from 3 exons. Lineage: Eukaryota; Metazoa; Chordata; Actinopteri; Salmoniformes; Salmonidae.